Molecule: transfer RNA, 74 nt
Filed under: Ulva meridionalis
Lineage: Eukaryota; Viridiplantae; Chlorophyta; Ulvophyceae; Ulvales; Ulvaceae
Description: tRNA-His
Rfam family: tRNA
About the family: Transfer RNA (tRNA) molecules are approximately 80 nucleotides in length. Their secondary structure includes four short double-helical elements and three loops (D, anti-codon, and T loops).
Source: RNAcentral
GGUAGCUAUGAUGUAAUGGUAAGCAUAGCGCGCUGUGAAUGCGUUCGUAAGGGUUCAAAUCCCUUUAGUUACCA